This 792-nucleotide ribosomal RNA is filed under the name uncultured Lactobacillus sp. Its description in RNAcentral is "bacterial SSU rRNA". It matches the Rfam family "Bacterial small subunit ribosomal RNA", at positions 28 to 776 of the family's 1533-position model. Lineage: Bacteria; Bacillati; Bacillota; Bacilli; Lactobacillales; Lactobacillaceae. The record is from RNAcentral.
GAUGAACGCCGGCGGUGUGCCUAAUACAUGCAAGUCGAACGCGUUGGCCCAAUUGAUUGACGGUGCUUGCAUCUGAUUGAUUUUGGUCGCCAACGAGUGGCGGACGGGUGAGUAACACGUAGGUAACCUGCCCAGAAGCGGGGGACAACAUUUGGAAACAGAUGCUAAUACCGCAUAACAGCGUUGUUCGCAUGAACAACGCUUAAAAGAUGGCUUCUCGCUAUCACUUCUGGAUGGACCUGCGGUGCAUUAGCUUGUUGGUGGGGUAACGGCCUACCAAGGCGAUGAUGCAUAGCCGAGUUGAGAGACUGAUCGGCCACAAUGGGACUGAGACACGGCCCAUACUCCUACGGGAGGCAGCAGUAGGGAAUCUUCCACAAUGGGCGCAAGCCUGAUGGAGCAACACCGCGUGAGUGAAGAAGGGUUUCGGCUCGUAAAGCUCUGUUGUUAAAGAAGAACACGUAUGAGAGUAACUGUUCAUACGUUGACGGUAUUUAACCAGAAAGUCACGGCUAACUACGUGCCAGCAGCCGCGGUAAUACGUAGGUGGCAAGCGUUAUCCGGAUUUAUUGGGCGUAAAGAGAGUGCAGGCGGUUUUCUAAGUCUGAUGUGAAAGCCUUCGGCUUAACCGGAGAAGUGCAUCGGAAACUGGAUAACUUGAGUGCAGAAGAGGGUAGUGGAACUCCAUGUGUAGCGGUGGAAUGCGUAGAUAUAUGGAAGAACACCAGUGGCGAAGGCGGCUACCUGGUCUGCAACUGACGCUGAGACUCGAAAGCAUGGGUAGCGAACAGG